Non-coding RNA from Schistosoma rodhaini, 44 nucleotides. The record is from Rfam. Lineage: Eukaryota; Metazoa; Platyhelminthes; Trematoda; Strigeidida; Schistosomatidae.
AUAAGCUGAUGAGUCCCAUAUAGGACGAAACGCGCGUCCUGGAU